GAUGAAGAACGUAGCGAAAUGCGAUACUUGGUGUGAAUUGCAGAAUCCCGUGAACCAUCGAGUCUUUGAACGCAAGUUGCGCCCGAAGCCACUAGGCCGAGGGCACGCCUGCCUGGGCGUCACACGUCGUUGCCCCCCACCAUCUACUCCUUCGGGAUUGCGGGGGGCGGAUGAUGGCCUCCCGUGCGCCUAGCCGCGCGGUUGGCAUAAAUACCAAGUCCUCGGCGACGCACGCCACGACAAUCGGUGGUUGCGAAACCUCGGUUGCCCGUCGUGUGCGUUCGUCGCGCAUCGAGGGCUCGAAAAAUUGCUCGGCUCCGGCUCGGCUUUCAACGCGACCCCAGGUCAGGCGGGGUUACCCGCUGAAUUUAAGCAUAUCAAUAAGCGGAGGA
Molecule: unclassified non-coding RNA, 392 nt
Filed under: soil metagenome
Description: partial contains 5.8S ribosomal RNA, internal transcribed spacer 2, and large subunit ribosomal RNA
Rfam family: 5.8S ribosomal RNA (bases 1-122)
Source: RNAcentral